Molecule: long non-coding RNA, 1898 nt
Organism: Helianthus annuus (common sunflower)
Lineage: Eukaryota; Viridiplantae; Streptophyta; Magnoliopsida; Asterales; Asteraceae
Exons: 8
Source: RefSeq, a predicted model, not a curated record
UCUCUCACAACUCACAUCUCACAAACUUUAUCAGACUCUUUCUCUCUCUUUCUCCCAGAUCUAGAUCGGAAGUGUUUGAACCACCGGUGGAGGAGACUAGGGUUUCGUCUUCCGUGAUGAAAGAUGUCUGGAGUGCUGAUGGUUUGAGAUGAAAUCAGAUGAUGAACAACCUGUGAUGAAGAACAAACAUCAAUGAAAUCGAAAACACACAGGGUUGAACACGGAUUUGAAGAAACCCUAACUGAAGGUUUUGUCCGGUCAUCUCUGUUGUGGUUUCUUUCGGCUUUCUUCCACAUCAACGAUUAACAAACACAAAGCAGGUUUAAUGGUGGCAUGUUUGUGCUGGUUCAACAAAGCCAGAAAGCGGAGGCGACGGCUAGGGUUUCGAUUAGUGAUCUCGGUCUGAUGUUCUUCACGAUAGAGAUGCACUCGAGAUGGUAAAGAUGGAAUUCCAGCAUUGAUUGGGGUUACAUGUGUGCUUGAUUUGGGAUCCGCGUUUGAGUUUAGUUCUGGCUGGAAUCCGAGUCGAUCGUUUCACAACUACUAUGGCGUCUUCUAGGGUUUCAUCAAAAGUCCAAAUCAAGAAAAUCCGUUGGGUCCAUCACUAAAGGGUAUUAAGGUGGCUGGCUGAGGUGGUUCCAGGUCAUGGUAGCGAUUGUCGGUGGCGGAGACUAACUCUGGCUGUGAGACCACGACCACAUGGGUUUAUGAUGGUGAAAAUAGAUUUUUAUCAAAAUACAUUAACCAUUUAUAAAAAACAGACAUAAUGUUUGGUGUUGCGGUUGUGUAUUUUUAAGAGCGGUGAACUGUAACUAAAGAAUUAGUGAUUAGAAACUAUGAGAUGGUGGUGGUCUGUGGCUCCUGGUUAGCGAAAACAACCACUAUCUAGGGUAUCAUUGGUUUGAUAGUCGCCUUCUAUGUUUUCGCAGGUUUGAUUCUGACAGAUAGAUUCAUUUUCGUACAGAUACGUGAAGGCUUUCACGAGAUUAGGAGUUCAAUAUGUGAUGCUAUUUUUAUUGCUCAGCUCCUCAAUGCUACACUUGUGAUUCCCGAGAUUCAGUCACCCACAAGCAGCAAGGGAAGCAGUGCUCAGUUUAAGAGUUUUCCUUACCUUUAGAACGAGGAUCAUUUCAUGGAAGCAUUAGUAAAUGAUAUCAGAGUAGUAGAGACGCUUCCCAAAAAGCCUCAAAGGAGCUAGAAGAAAGAAAGAAAUCCCUUCGUCUAGAGUCGUCAACUUUGGGAAAUUGAUAGAGACUGUUUACAGAAUCGGACUCAAGGCAGCACUGUUUAUGGCUUUCAAGGUGGCCCUGCUGGGAUUUUCAACUCUAAAUAUCUUAUCUUGACUCAUGAAUUUGUCUAUCCUUAUAGAAAUCAGGUGAUGUUGCAUGGAUAAUACAAUUCUUCUUAACACUUUCUUUUUUUCUUUUUUUGUAAUUCCCUAACUACAUCAUCAUCAUCUAUGGUGGCUUUGAUAUUAUCUGUAGUGGAAGAGAAAAGAUUGAAACACCUCAGCAGUUUCACCAAGCUCGGGAAACGGCCAAGAUGCUUGAUUUGGAUGGAAUUGUAGUCAUUGGUGGUGAUGACUCAAAUACAAAUGCUUGCCUGCUAGCAGAAAACUUUAGGUCUGUUAUAUUUUGUUUCUUGCCUUAAGUCACAUCAGCAAAUCGAAACUGAAAAGAUGCUCAUUCAAAUCUUGCUUAACGAUUGUUUGGGCUAGAAUACACAUUGGUAUUCUUAGAAGUGAUAGACCGGAGAACAGACUUGUAAUAGAGAGCUGGCUUUGUACAUUUAUUUUAAUGACUUGGGAGAUAAACUAAAAUUGAAAUGGUAUUAUGGUGGGCAUACUUUUCAGUAUAUUUAUAUCAAAUACAUAAAAAAUGAUUGAUUCAUUGUGUGCC